CACAUGCAAGUCGAGCGGAAACGAGUUAUCUGAACCUUCGGGGAACGAUAACGGCGUCGAGCGGCGGACGGGUGAGUAAUGCCUAGGAAAUUGCCCUGAUGUGGGGGAUAACCAUUGGAAACGAUGGCUAAUACCGCAUGAUGCCUACGGGCCAAAGAGGGGGACCUUCGGGCCUCUCGCGUCAGGAUAUGCCUAGGUGGGAUUAGCUAGUUGGUGAGGUAAGGGCUCACCAAGGCGACGAUCCCUAGCUGGUCUGAGAGGAUGAUCAGCCACACUGGAACUGAGACACGGUCCAGACUCCUACGGGAGGCAGCAGUGGGGAAUAUUGCACAAUGGGCGCAAGCCUGAUGCAGCCAUGCCGCGUGUAUGAAGAAGGCCUUCGGGUUGUAAAGUACUUUCAGUCGUGAGGAAGGUGGCGUCGUUAAUAGCGGCGUUGUUUGACGUUAGCGACAGAAGAAGCACCGGCUAACUCCGUGCCAGCAGCCGCGGUAAUACGGAGGGUGCGAGCGUUAAUCGGAAUUACUGGGCGUAAAGCGCAUGCAGGUGGUUUGUUAAGUCAGAUGUGAAAGCCCGGGGCUCAACCUCGGAAUAGCAUUUGAAACUGGCAGACUAGAGUACUGUAGAGGGGGGUAGAAUUUCAGGUGUAGCGGUGAAAUGCGUAGAGAUCUGAAGGAAUACCGGUGGCGAAGGCGGCCCCCUGGACAGAUACUGACACUCAGAUGCGA
RNAcentral lists this ribosomal RNA (725 nucleotides) under Vibrio alginolyticus. RNAcentral describes it as "bacterial SSU rRNA". It matches the Rfam family "Bacterial small subunit ribosomal RNA", at positions 52 to 756 of the family's 1533-position model. Lineage: Bacteria; Pseudomonadati; Pseudomonadota; Gammaproteobacteria; Vibrionales; Vibrionaceae. The record is from RNAcentral.